Molecule: ribosomal RNA, 675 nt
Filed under: uncultured archaeon
Lineage: Archaea
Description: bacterial SSU rRNA
Rfam family: Archaeal small subunit ribosomal RNA
Source: RNAcentral
CCUACGGGGUGCAGCAGGCGCGAAACCUUUACACUGCACGCAAGUGCGAUAAGGGGAUCCUUAGUGCUCAUGCAUUGCAUGGGCUUUUGCCAAGAGUAAAUAUCUUGGCGAAUAAGUGGUGGGAAAGACUGGUGCCGGCCGCCGCGGUAACACCAGCGCCACGAGUGGCAAUCAGCUUUAUUGGGCCUAAAGCGUUCGUAGCCGGUCAAAUAAAUUCCAGGUGAAAUCGUUCUGCCUAACAGGACGGCGUGCUUGGAAGACUGUUUGACUUGGGACCGGGAGGUGUCAGGGGUAUUCCUGGGGGAGCGGUAAAAUGCUAUAAUCCCUGGAGGACCACCUGUGGCGAAGGCGUCUGACAAGAACGGAUCCGACGGUGAGGGACGAAAGCUAGGGGAGCAAAUCGGAUUAGAUACCCGAGUAGUCCUAGCUGUAAACGCUGCGAGCUAGAUGUUGCGUCUUCUUCGGAAUAUGCAGUGUCGUAGCGAAGGUGUUAAGCUCGCCGCCUGGGGAGUACGGUCGCAAGGCUGAAACUUAAAGGAAUUGGCGGGGAAGCACUACAAGGGGUGCGGCGUGCGGUUUAAUUGUAUUCAACGCCGGGAAUCUUACCAGGAGCGCCGGCAGGAUGAAGGUCAGAUUAGAUGUCUUACCUGACGAGCCGAGAGGAAGUGCAUGGCC